CGGAAGCCCAUGAGGAUACUAACCAUUGGGAUGAGAGUCAUACUAUUGCUGAACAAAUCCGACCCAUAUUCAGGCUACAAUAGAUAGUUAUAUAACGUGUCUCUGGCACUGCUGUGUGAACCACUGCUACCCAUCACGCAUCUCCAUGGCGCAGCGCGGGAGCGUCCACUCACUCCCUCCCUGUGCGGCCAAAGCACCACUCGUACUCCAUCAGCCAUGUCCUCCGUCACCUUACCUGAACUCUGGGAUUACUUUAUAAUGUACAUGACUGGAGUGAAAGAGUUUAAUCCACAUACCCGGGAACUUGACCUGAGAAUGUUCCCCGUGAGGAUGACCAGUACCUGUCAGAACAGUAGAAGGACACUAAUGGGUCCGUAUGGGGUAGACCGUGCCGUUCAUGAAAUAGAAUUUACUGACUGUGAGAAUGGACUGGGGAUCAAAGUGAUUGGAGGAAUGAAGGAGUUAACGGGAGAGGAGUUUGGAGUCUACGUGAAAAGGAUUUUACCUGGUGGCCUUGCUUCAAGUGAUGGACACCUCCAGGCGGGAGACCAGAUCUUGGAGGUGAAUGGGGAGAGUUUACUAGGGGUCACUAGUGAAAGAGCAGUAGACGUUCUGAGAUCAGCGUCCUCGAGCAACCAAAUGCGCCUUCUGAUCGCCAGAGACGAGGAAGCCAGGAGAGAGUUUUCAGAGCUUUUGGAGAAGUAUGGAUCCAGCAGUAGUACUGGGUCGACACGCAACUCUCCCAUCCAGCAUGGCAGAUAUCUGGACAGCACAUCGUCC
Long non-coding RNA from Oncorhynchus tshawytscha (Chinook salmon), 780 nucleotides. NCBI's taxonomy places the organism in Eukaryota, Metazoa, Chordata, Actinopteri, Salmoniformes, Salmonidae. The record is from Ensembl.